Molecule: ribosomal RNA, 2077 nt
Filed under: Salmonella enterica subsp. enterica serovar Infantis
Lineage: Bacteria; Pseudomonadati; Pseudomonadota; Gammaproteobacteria; Enterobacterales; Enterobacteriaceae
Description: partial 23S ribosomal RNA
Source: RNAcentral
CCGGAGAAUGUUAUCACGGGAGACACACGGCGGGUGCUAACGUCCGUCGUGAAGAGGGAAACAACCCAGACCGCCAGCUAAGGUCCCAAAGUCAUGGUUAAGUGGGAAACGAUGUGGGAAGGCCCAGACAGCCAGGAUGUUGGCUUAGAAGCAGCCAUCAUUUAAAGAAAGCGUAAUAGCUCACUGGUCGAGUCGGCCUGCGCGGAAGAUGUAACGGGGCUAAACCAUGCACCGAAGCUGCGGCAGCGAACGUAUCACUUAAAGCGAUUCAGCGGGUUACGAUUGACGGAGCGAAGCGACGUCAAAGCGUAUACAAAGUCGAGUCGGUUUAAGGAUACGUUCGUUGGGUAGGGGAGCGUUCUGUAAGCCUGYGAAGGUGKSYYGUGAGGSWUGCUGGAGGUAUCAGAAGUGCGAAUGCUGACAUAAGUAACGAUAAAGCGGGUGAAAAGCCCGCUCGCCGGAAGACCAAGGGUUCCUGUCCAACGUUAAUCGGGGCAGGGUGAGUCGACCCCUAAGGCGAGGCCGAAAGGCGUAGUCGAUGGGAAACGGGUUAAUAUUCCCGUACUUGGUGUUACUGCGAAGGGGGGACGGAGAAGGCUAUGUUGGCCGGGCGACGGUUGUCCCGGUUUAAGCGUGUAGGCUGGUUUUCCAGGCAAAUCCGGAAAAUCAAGGCUGAGGCGUGAUGACGAGGCACUACGGUGCUGAAGCAACAAAUGCCCUGCUUCCAGGAAAAGCCUCUAAGCAUCAGGUAACAUCAAAUCGUACCCCAAACCGACACAGGUGGUCAGGUAGAGAAUACCAAGGCGCUUGAGAGAACUCGGGUGAAGGAACUAGGCAAAAUGGUGCCGUAACUUCGGGAGAAGGCACGCUGACACGUAGGUGAAGUGAUUUACUCAUGGAGCUGAAGUCAGUCGAAGAUACCAGCUGGCUGCAACUGUUUAUUAAAAACACAGCACUGUGCAAACACGAAAGUGGACGUAUACGGUGUGACGCCUGCCCGGUGCCGGAAGGUUAAUUGAUGGGGUCAGCGCAAGCGAAGCUCCUGAUCGAAGCCCCGGUAAACGGCGGCCGUAACUAUAACGGUCCUAAGGUAGCGAAAUUCCUUGUCGGGUAAGUUCCGACCUGCACGAAUGGCGUAAUGAUGGCCAGGCUGUCUCCACCCGAGACUCAGUGAAAUUGAACUCGCUGUGAAGAUGCAGUGUACCCGCGGCAAGACGGAAAGACCCCGUGAACCUUUACUAUAGCUUGACACUGAACAUUGAGCCUUGAUGUGUAGGAUAGGUGGGAGGCUUUGAAGYGUGGACGCCAGUCUGCRUGGAGCCGACCUUGAAAUACCACCCUUUAAUGUUUGAUGUUCUAACGUGGACCCGURAUCCGGGUUGCGGACAGUGUCUGGUGGGUAGUUUGACUGGGGCGGUCUCCUCCUAAAGAGUAACGGAGGAGCACGAAGGUUGGCUAAUCCUGGUCGGACAUCAGGAGGUUAGUGCAAUGGCAUAAGCCAGCUUGACUGCGAGCGUGACGGCGCGAGCAGGUGCGAAAGCAGGUCAUAGUGAUCCGGUGGUUCUGAAUGGAAGGGCCAUCGCUCAACGGAUAAAAGGUACUCCGGGGAUAACAGGCUGAUACCGCCCAAGAGUUCAUAUCGACGGCGGUGUUUGGCACCUCGAUGUCGGCUCAUCACAUCCUGGGGCUGAAGUAGGUCCCAAGGGUAUGGCUGUUCGCCAUUUAAAGUGGUACGCGAGCUGGGUUUAGAACGUCGUGAGACAGUUCGGUCCCUAUCUGCCGUGGGCGCUGGAGAACUGAGGGGGGCUGCUCCUAGUACGAGAGGACCGGAGUGGACGCAUCACUGGUGUUCGGGUUGUCAUGCCAAUGGCACUGCCCGGUAGCUAAAUGCGGAAGAGAUAAGUGCUGAAAGCAUCUAAGCACGAAACUUGCCCCGAGAUGAGUUCUCCCUGAGACUUAGAGUCUCCUGAAGGAACGUUGAAGACGACGACGUUGAUAGGCCGGGUGUGUAAGCGCAGCGAUGCGUUGAGCUAACCGGUACUAAUGAACCGUGAGGCUUAACCUUACAACGCCGAAG